UACGUAGGGUGCGAGCGUUAAUCGGAAUUACUGGGCGUAAAGCGUGCGCAGGCGGUUGUGCAAGACAGAUGUGAAAUCCCCGGGCUUAACCUGGGAAUUGCAUUUGUGACUGCACGGCUAGAGUGUGUCAGAGGGGGGUAGAAUUCCACGUGUAGCAGUGAAAUGCGUAGAUAUGCGGAGGAAUACCGAUGGCGAAGGCAGCCCCCUGGGAUAACACUGACGCUCAUGCACGAAAGCGUGGGGAGCAAACAGG
This 253-nucleotide ribosomal RNA is filed under the name uncultured bacterium. Its description in RNAcentral is "partial 16S ribosomal RNA". It matches the Rfam family "Bacterial small subunit ribosomal RNA", at positions 524 to 776 of the family's 1533-position model. The record is from RNAcentral.